Molecule: ribosomal RNA, 432 nt
Filed under: uncultured bacterium
Lineage: Bacteria
Description: bacterial SSU rRNA
Rfam family: Bacterial small subunit ribosomal RNA
Source: RNAcentral
AUUGAACGCUGGCGGCAGGCCUAACACAUGCAAGUCGAGCGGCAGCGGGAAAGUAGCUUGCUACUUUUGCCGGCGAGCGGCGGACGGGUGAGUAAUGCCUGGGAAAUUGCCCAGUCGAGGGGGAUAACAGUUGGAAACGACUGCUAAUACCGCAUACGCCCUACGGGGGAAAGCAGGGGACCUUCGGGCCUUGCGCGAUUGGAUAUGCCCAGGUGGGAUUAGCUUGUUGGUGAGGUAAUGGCUCACCAAGGCGACGAUCCCUAGCUGGUCUGAGAGGAUGAUCAGCCACACUGGAACUGAGACACGGUCCAGACUCCUACGGGAGGCAGCAGUGGGGAAUAUUGCACAAUGGGGGAAACCCUGAUGCAGCCAUGCCGCGUGUGUGAAGAAAGGCCUUCGGUUGUAAGCACUUCUAGCGAGGAGGAAAGGUUA